GACGUAGGAGGCGAGCGUUGUCCGGAAUCACUGGGCGUAAAGGGCGCGUAGGUGGCGUCGCAAGUCAACGGUGAAAGCUCGACGCUCAACGUCGAGUCGGCCGUCGAGACUGCGAGGCUUGAGCACUGUAGAGGCAGAUGGAAUUCCGGGUGUAGCGGUGGAAUGCGUAGAGAUCCGGAAGAACACCGGUGGCGAAGGCGGUCUGCUGGGCAGUUGCUGACACUGAGGCGCGACAGCGUGGGGAGCAAACAGG
Molecule: ribosomal RNA, 253 nt
Filed under: uncultured bacterium
Lineage: Bacteria
Description: partial 16S ribosomal RNA
Rfam family: Bacterial small subunit ribosomal RNA
Source: RNAcentral